ACAUCCAGAGAACUUGGCAGAGAUGCCUUGGUGCCUUCGGGACCUCUGAGACAGGUGCUGCAUGGCUGUCGUCAGCUCGUGUUGUGAAAUUGUUGGGUUAAGUCCCGNAACGAGCGCAACCCCUAUCCUUUGUUGCCAGCGAUUCGGUCGGGAACUCAAAGGAGACUGCCGGUGAUAAACCGGAGGAAGGUGGGGAUGACGUCAAGUCAUCAUGGCCCUUACGAGUAGGGCUACACACGUGCUACAAUGGCGCAUACAAAGAGAAGCGACCUCGCGAGAGCAAGCGGACCUCAUAAAGUGCGUCGUAGUCCGGAUCGGAGUCUGCAACUCGACUCCGUGAAGUCGGAAUCGCUAGUAAUCGUAGAUCAGAAUGCUACGGUGAAUACGUUCCCGGGCCUUGUACACACCGCCCGUCACACCAUGGGAGUGGGUUGCAAAAGAAGUAGAUAGCUUAACCUUCGGGAGGGCGUUUACCACUUUGUGAUUCAUGACUGGGGUGAAGUCGUAACAAGGUAAGCGUAGCGAG
Molecule: ribosomal RNA, 526 nt
Filed under: uncultured bacterium
Lineage: Bacteria
Description: bacterial SSU rRNA
Rfam family: Bacterial small subunit ribosomal RNA
Source: RNAcentral